AGCUCUGGAUUUGUUUGUCCUACCUUUCCCUUUUGAAGGAACGUAUCUUGAAUGUGCCCAAACAUUUCCUCUUGGAAUAAAAACAAAAAACUGCGGAUGCUGGAAAUCCAAAAAAAUCCUUUUGGAAGGGAAUUACCUGCCCUUAACUUGGAGGAAAUGAAAAUGAACAGAAAGCAGUUCCAAACACACGAAUUGGAGCAAGUGCACACAACACAGAAAGCCUAACUGCCUGCUAUUGAUAACCCUUCAGUUAUUGGUCUAUGACUCGCAGUCAGAAAGAAAAUAAUCUAAUAAACUGUGCGAGAGAUUA
Molecule: long non-coding RNA, 310 nt
Organism: Carcharodon carcharias (great white shark)
Lineage: Eukaryota; Metazoa; Chordata; Chondrichthyes; Lamniformes; Lamnidae
Exons: 2
Source: RefSeq, a predicted model, not a curated record